This 1377-nucleotide long non-coding RNA is filed under the name Mytilus galloprovincialis (Mediterranean mussel). Lineage: Eukaryota; Metazoa; Mollusca; Bivalvia; Mytilida; Mytilidae. The record is from RNAcentral.
UAAGUGUAGAAGAUACCAACAAAUGGUCAAAACAUAAGCGUAGAAGAUACCAACAAUCACAGUGUUAAAAGUUAAAACAUAGGUGUAGAAGAUACCAACAAUCACAUUGUUAAAAGUUAAAACAUAGGUGUAGAAGAUACCAACACAUGGUCAAAACAUAGGUGUAGAAGAUAUCAACACACAGUUAAACAAAGAUGUAGAAUAUCCCAACACAUGAUUAAAACAUAGAUGUAAAAGACACCAACACAUGACCAAAACAAAGAAUUAGAAGAAAUUAACACAUGGUCAAACCAAAGAUGUAGAAGAUACCGAACACAUGGUCAAAACAUAGGUCUAGAAGAUACUAACACAUGAUGGAAACCAACAUGUAGAAGAUAUCAUCACAUGGUCAAAACAAAAAUGUAGAAAAUACCAACACAUGGUAAAAAAAAGAUGUAGAAGAUCCCAACACAUGGUCAAAACAAAGAUGUAGAAGAUCCCAACACAUGGUAAAAACAAAGAUAGAGAAGAUAUCAACACAUGGUCACAACAAAGAUGUAUAAGAAACAAACACAUAGCCAAAACAAAGAUUUAGAAGAUACCAACACACACAUGGUCAAAACAAAGUUGAAGAAGAUACUAACACAUGAUCAAAACAAAGAUGAAAAAGAUACAAACACAUGGCCAAAACAUAGAUGUAGAAGAUAUCAACACAUGUUCAAAACAAAGAUUUAGAAAAUACCAACACACACAUGGUCAAAACAAAGUUGUAGAAGAUACAAACACAUGGUCAAAACAUAGAUGUAGAGGAUACCAACACAUGGUCAAAACAUAGAUGUAGAAGAAAUCAACACAUGGUCAAAACAAAGAUUUAGAAAAUACCAACAAGGAUUAAAAAAAUAACGAUCAUCAAAGACAUCAAAUGUCUUGCAGAAAACUAAACACAUAGUAAAAUGGAGACAACAAAGGCAGUGCAGAAUGUGUUGAAAUUAUUAGAAUCGAGACAAGUAGGUAUGUUGAUUUAGAAAGCGCACUACACGUGAUUAUUUCUAAAACAAAAUAAACGUACACUUGAGUUUAUUAUAGUUAGUUUUAGUGAAAAUUUAUUGAAUUUAUCUAUAUUUACGUUGAUUUUGAUUAGCAGGGACAUGCAUAUUGUUAGAACAUAUCAAAGAAGAAAAGGGGCAAUAUUUGAUGGAUUCCGUUAUAGGGAUGGCACAACAUAAAAGGGAUAAGAAAUAUCAGUUCAAAUUAAUAACUCGUUUGUUCAUUUUCCUUUUUGAGUUAUCCCGCUUUUUUCGGGAAUCAAAAAUAUUGUAUACAAUUUGCUCAAGAGGAAACAAGGGUGGUGUUACAAAACCUUUGGAAAAACAUAAGAUUAACUUUUUAAACACGGAC